Molecule: ribosomal RNA, 1346 nt
Filed under: uncultured bacterium
Lineage: Bacteria
Description: partial 16S ribosomal RNA
Rfam family: Bacterial small subunit ribosomal RNA
Source: RNAcentral
GACGAACGCUGGCGGCGUGCUUAACACAUGCAAGUCGAACGGAAAGGCCCUGCUUUUGUGGGGUGCUCGAGUGGCGAACGGGUGAGUAACACGUGAGUAACCUGCCCUUGACUUUGGGAUAACUUCAGGAAACUGGGGCUAAUACCGGAUAGGAGCUCCUGCUGCAUGGUGGGGGUUGGAAAGUUUCGGCGGUUGGGGAUGGACUCGCGGCUUAUCAGCUUGUUGGUGGGGUAGUGGCUUACCAAGGCUUUGACGGGUAGCCGGCCUGAGAGGGUGACCGGCCACAUUGGGACUGAGAUACGGCCCAGACUCCUACGGGAGGCAGCAGUGGGGAAUAUUGCACAAUGGGCGGAAGCCUGAUGCAGCAACGCCGCGUGCGGGAUGACGGCCUUCGGGUUGUAAACCGCUUUCGCCUGUGACGAAGCGUGAGUGACGGUAAUGGGUAAAGAAGCACCGGCUAACUACGUGCCAGCAGCCGCGGUGAUACGUAGGGUGCGAACGUUGUCCGGAUUUAUUGGGCGUAAAGGGCUCGUAGGUGGUUGAUCGCGUCGGAAGUGUAAUCUUGGGGCUUAACCCUGAGCGUGCUUUCGAUACGGGUUGACUUGAGGAAGGUAGGGGAGAAUGGAAUUCCUGGUGGAGCGGUGGAAUGCGCAGACAUCAGGAGGAACACCAGUGGCGAAGGCGGUUCUCUGGGCCUUUCCUGACGCUGAGGAGCGAAAGCGUGGGGAGCGAACAGGCUUAGAUACCCUGGUAGUCCACGCUGUAAACGGUGGGUACUAGGUGUGGGGUCCAUUCCACGGGUUCCGUGCCGUAGCUAACGCUUUAAGUACCCCGCCUGGGGAGUACGGCCGCAAGGCUAAAACUCAAAGGAAUUGACGGGGCCCCGCACAAGCGGCGGAGCAUGCGGAUUAAUUCGAUGCAACGCGUAGAACCUUACCUGGGUUUGACAUGGAUCGGGAGUGCUCAGAGAUGGGUGUGCCUCUUUUGGGGUCGGUUCACAGGUGGUGCAUGGCUGUCGUCAGCUCGUGUCGUGAGAUGUUGGGUUAAGUCCCGCAACGAGCGCAACCCUUGUUCACUGUUGCCAGCACGUUAUGGUGGGGACUCAGUGGAGACCGCCGGGGUCAACUCGGAGGAAGGUGGGGAUGACGUCAAGUCAUCAUGCCCCUUAUGUCCAGGGCUUCACGCAUGCUACAAUGGCUGGUACAGAGAGUGGCGAGCCUGUGAGGGUGAGCGAAUCUCGGAAAGCCGGUCUCAGUUCGGAUUGGGGUCUGCAACUCGACCUCAUGAAGUCGGAGUCGCUAGUAAUCGCAGAUCAGCAACGCUGCGGUGAAUACGUUCCCGGGGCU